Molecule: ribosomal RNA, 459 nt
Filed under: uncultured bacterium
Lineage: Bacteria
Description: bacterial SSU rRNA
Rfam family: Bacterial small subunit ribosomal RNA
Source: RNAcentral
ACGAACGCUGGCGGCAGGCUUAACACAUGCAAGUCGAACGGCUGUAGCAAUACAGCAGUGGCAGACGGGUGAGUAACACGUGGGAACCUUCCUAGGGGUACGGAACAACUCAGGGAAACUUGAGCUAAUACCGUAUACGUCCGUAAGGAGAAAGAUUCAUCGCCCCUAGACGGGCCCGCGUAGGAUUAGGUAGUUGGUGAGGUAACGGCUCACCAAGCCUACGAUCCUUAGCUGAUCUGAGAGGAUGAUCAGCCACACUGGGACUGAGACACGGCCCAGACUCCUACGGGAGGCAGCAGUGGGGAAUCUUGGACAAUGGGCGCAAGCCUGAUCCAGCCAUGCCGCGUGAGUGAAGAAGGCCUGCGGGUUGUAAAGCACUUUUGGCGAAGACGAGGCUUAUUGAUUUAAAUAGGGUUAAUGAGUGACGGUAUUCGCAGAAAAAGCACCGGCUAACUCUGU